UAUAGUUAUUUGGUCAUCACCUACUGCAUCCAUGAAAAUCAUCAACUAUCCAACAAAAAAAAAAUCUUUAGGAAAAGAGAGAACAAGGCAUAAAGAUUCUUCAACGUGUAAAUUCACAGUCUACGUACUGCAUAUGAAAAGUAAUGAUUCAUAUGAUGGAGUUGACAUCUGACUAGAUUCUACAAUGAUUUGGGAUCUCUACCUUCACUGAGUAGUGUCAAGAUAGACACGCUAUACCCUCCCCAGACCCCACUUCUGAAAUUU
This is a long non-coding RNA of Capsicum annuum, 264 nucleotides long. RefSeq lists it as uncharacterized. The transcript is spliced from 3 exons. The record is from RefSeq and is a predicted model, not a curated record. NCBI's taxonomy places the organism in Eukaryota, Viridiplantae, Streptophyta, Magnoliopsida, Solanales, Solanaceae.